This is a long non-coding RNA of Panicum hallii, 1479 nucleotides long. RefSeq lists it as uncharacterized. NCBI's taxonomy places the organism in Eukaryota, Viridiplantae, Streptophyta, Magnoliopsida, Poales, Poaceae. The transcript is spliced from 4 exons. The record is from RefSeq and is a predicted model, not a curated record.
GCGCCGGCAUCCAGCUUAGACAACAAGCUGGUGAUAGAUACCUUUCCUACAAAUUCCCCUCCAACAUUCCUGGAUGGAAAAGCCAUUGGUUCUACAUCGGAAACCAUGUCCCCCAGCUUCCUAAAAGAUCCGGUAAACCUCCUGUCAUGAGGCUAGAGUGGAACACCGAACUCUCCAGAGGGGACAUAGAUCAAGUCGACGAGUUGCUAGCCGUCAUAGCAGCCCAUAAGGAAAUAGAAGUGACUGGCGCGUCCGUAAUGUUUUCCUUCUUCAAACGCUGAAUCUAGCCAAUCCAACAGCGCCAUACGCUAGGCUUUAAGUACAUGGGCGCUGAGGAUCCAUCUUGAAUAUGCGUAGAGGAGCUGACUGAUGAUGCCGCGCUCAUCCGGGUCAAGCGAGUACUGCUGGAUGUGAACGCAGUUCCCUAUGUCCCAGAGUUGUUUUUUGCGCAAAAUACUCCAAAGCUGGGACACAUAGAGUUGUACCGGAGUUAUCCACCACAUCCCAAUAUCCCCCGACCGGACCACCUUCUUCCCAGUGCCGUGGCAGAAGCAAAAAAAGCUUAAGCAUCCGAAGCUCUACCCAGUGAUGCAACGAUUGAGAGCGAGAGCCCACUGGCGGAGAGAGCGGCUGAAGGGAAGGCGAAGAAGAACAACUCCCCCAGAUCAUCCGUGGAGUUGGCCGAAGCUUUGCCAUUGGUCCCUCGGGGUCGUCGGGUAGUGCGCAAACGUAAAGUGCAUGUAGUCAAACCCCCCAGUCCCUCGGCUUCUCCACCCAACCCCAAGUGCCAAAAGGUGACUGGGACCAAAUUUGCUAGGGAUGAUGUUCCAGCAGAUGGCGCAGCAGAAACUGCUGGGACGGACCCAUCGACUACUUCAGCAGAGAUGGUAACCAUUGUCCUGUUCUUUUCGACUUCUUUAAUGAUAAAACUGAUUCUGCUUCAUUAGGUCUGUGUCUGCCCUGGGGUUUAAGCCAAAGCCUGACUCGGAUACUCCAGCCCCCCGAGCCGCCAGCCCCUGAGGAGGAGACGACACUGCCCGACUCACCACCCCCCGAGCCCCAGCAACCCAAAGCCGACGCUGGUGGUGAAGAACAAGUCGAGGCGACUGAUGCCACUCCUGCAGAUGGCACAAGUGGCCCACAACUAAGAACAGAAGAAGCUGCAGGUACCAUAAGAAACCCUAAAGAUCUUCUGGAAGUAUCGCAUGUUGUUGACCAUCAGGAAUGGAUCAUCCACUAGAUCUGUGGUGAUGAUGUGGCCAAACUCUCCCAACAAAAAUCCGAAAAGCUAAAAGCAGUGGUGAGUGGCCUCCAGGAACUUCAAGCAAAAGAUCAAGCAUAUCAGAAGAAUAGCAGAAGAACAUAUAUCUUCAAAGAGAGCUCAACAAGCUGAAGCUGGAGCGGAUGCGAGAAACAUGGCUCCUCAAGAACAAUCUCCGCAAUCUUGAGAAGGCCAACUCCGAGCUCCAAGAACAGCUC